CUUGACCUACGGGACGCAGCAGUCGGGAAUAUUGCGCAAUGGAGGAAACUCUGACGCAGUGACGCCGCGUAUAGGAAGAAGGUUUUCGGAUUGUAAACUAUUGUCGUUAGGGAAGAUAAAAGACAGUACCUAAGGAGGAAGCUCCGGCUAACUACGUGCCAGCAGCCGCGGUAAUACGUAGGGAGCAAGCGUUAUCCGGAUUUAUUGGGUGUAAAGGGUGCGUAGACGGGAAAUUAAGUUAGUUGUGAAAUCCCUCUGCUCAACUGAGGAACUGCACCUAAAACUGAUUUUCUUGAGUGCCGGAG
Molecule: ribosomal RNA, 305 nt
Filed under: uncultured bacterium
Lineage: Bacteria
Description: bacterial SSU rRNA
Rfam family: Bacterial small subunit ribosomal RNA
Source: RNAcentral